UACGUAGGGGGCAAGCGUUAUCCGGAUUUACUGGGCGUAAAGGGAGCGUAGGCGGCCUGCCAAGUCUGAUGUGAAAUACCGGGGCUCAACCCCGGGGCUGCAUUGGAAACUGGCAGGCUGGAGUGCCGGAGAGGCAGGCGGAAUUCCUAGUGUAGCGGUGAAAUGCGUAGAUAUUAGGAGGAACACCAGAGGCGAAGGCGACUCACUGGACUGUAACUGACGCUGAGGCUCGAAAGCGUGGGGAGCAAACAGG
Molecule: ribosomal RNA, 253 nt
Filed under: uncultured Lachnospiraceae bacterium
Lineage: Bacteria; Bacillati; Bacillota; Clostridia; Lachnospirales; Lachnospiraceae
Description: partial 16S ribosomal RNA
Rfam family: Bacterial small subunit ribosomal RNA
Source: RNAcentral